GUGAAGCUGAUGUCCAAGUCAACGAAGCUGACGUCUGAAGGUAGAGGUCCUUGAUGCUGAAUCUGUCUUGGACCUGAGAAACUUUUCCCUCUCGAGAGUCGCUGGAAACCUGUUAUCAGAACCACAAGAAGAAGAACAGUUGUGUUUCAGGUUUUCCCGCUCUUACCAAGAAGACGUUGCUCUGGAUGCUGGAAUGCCCUGAAACUGCACCACUUUGUGAUGACAUCAAACAUCAGAGAAACUACAUCCAAGGUGCAUUGGGCCUAUUUAGAAUGUAUUAGGCUGUUAAAUGAGAAAAAAAAGGUUAUAUGGGCAAUUCCAUGCUGGUGGAGACACCAGACCAAAAAAUAAAUUUACCAAGUUUGAUUUGCUGAAGUGACACAAUAUCUUGGCGUUUUUUAAAACUGAAAUAGUUUCUUCCCAUGCGCGCACUAUUUUGUGAGUUACGGUACACCAUCACAUCAAAGUCUGCAAUGACGUCAUGAUGA
Patiria miniata (bat star) is the source of this 488-nucleotide long non-coding RNA. RefSeq lists it as uncharacterized. NCBI's taxonomy places the organism in Eukaryota, Metazoa, Echinodermata, Asteroidea, Valvatida, Asterinidae. The transcript is spliced from 3 exons. The record is from RefSeq and is a predicted model, not a curated record.